RNAcentral lists this unclassified non-coding RNA (538 nucleotides) under Hevea brasiliensis (rubber tree). The record is from RNAcentral. Lineage: Eukaryota; Viridiplantae; Streptophyta; Magnoliopsida; Malpighiales; Euphorbiaceae.
AGAGAGUGAAGAAAGUUGCCAUGUACAAACCUCGCUGAUAGGUCGGAAAGAUUGAAGGUUGCAGAGAGGGAUGGGAAAUCGGAAACAGAAAUGGACUUCGGAGGAAGAAGAAGCGCUAAGAGCAGGAGUAGCCAAACACGGCACUGGCAAGUGGAAAAACAUUCAGCAAGAUCCCGAAUUUAAUCCCUUCCUUUUUACCCGUACCAACAUCGAUCUUAAGGAUAAAUGGCGAAAUAUGAGNNNNNNNNNNGCCAAGGCCAGAGGGAAAAAUCACGGACACCAAAACCAAAAGUGAAAUCUGAUGAUCCUGCUACUGCUGCCUCUCCAAUUCCACUUUCCAAUCUACAAACUUCAGCCUCUGUUCCUCCAAUUAAUUCAGAUCUAGUCGUCGAUGAUUCUUCAAAAGGAAUAGUGGAUGGAAAAGGUGCUUCAAAGUAUAAUGCAAUGAUUUUUGAAGCAAUUUCAGCCUUGAAUAAGCAAAGUGGAGCAGACACCAGUGCAAUUGUUAGCUACAUCGAGCAAAGGCAAGAGGUAACAC